AUUGAACGCUGGCGGCAUGCUUUACACAUGCAAGUCGAACGGUAACAGGCCUUCGGGUGCUGGCGAGUGGCGAACGGGUGAGUAAUGCAUCGGAACGUACCCAGAGGUGGGGGAUAACGCAGCGAAAGCUGUGCUAAUACCGCAUGUGAUCUGAGGAUGAAAGCGGGGGACCGAGCAGCAAUGUUUGGCCUCGCGCCUUUGGAGCGGCCGAUGUCGGAUUAGCUAGUUGGUGGGGUAAAGGCCUACCAAGGCGACGAUCCGUAGCUGGUCUGAGAGGACGACCAGCCACACUGGGACUGAGACACGGCCCAGACUCCUACGGGAGGCAGCAGUGGGGAAUUUUAGACAAUGGGCGCAAGCCUGAUCCAGCAAUGCCGCGUGCGGGAAGAAGGCCUUCGGGUUGUAAACCGCUUUUGGCAGGAACGAAACGGUGUCCGCUAAUACCGGGCGCUAAUGACGGUACCUGCAGAAUAAGCACCGGCUAACUACGUG
This 492-nucleotide ribosomal RNA is filed under the name uncultured bacterium. RNAcentral describes it as "partial 16S ribosomal RNA". It matches the Rfam family "Bacterial small subunit ribosomal RNA", at positions 29 to 507 of the family's 1533-position model. The record is from RNAcentral.